Molecule: non-coding RNA, 23 nt
Filed under: Arabidopsis thaliana (thale cress)
Lineage: Eukaryota; Viridiplantae; Streptophyta; Magnoliopsida; Brassicales; Brassicaceae
Source: RNAcentral
UCUGAGGUUUUUGGUUAUUUUGA